RNAcentral lists this ribosomal RNA (727 nucleotides) under bacterium IMCC7682. RNAcentral describes it as "bacterial SSU rRNA". It matches the Rfam family "Bacterial small subunit ribosomal RNA", at positions 28 to 750 of the family's 1533-position model. The record is from RNAcentral.
GAUGAACGCUAGCGGCAGGCUUAACACAUGCAAGUCGAGGGGUAACAGGAGGUAGCUUGCUACUUGCUGACGACCGGCGCACGGGUGCGUAACGCGUAUAGAAUCUACCUUGUACUAGGGGAUAGCCUUUGGAAACGAAGAUUAAUACCCUAUAGUAAGUAUUUAUGGCAUCAUUUAUACUUUAAAGGUUACGGUACAAGAUGACUAUGCGUCCUAUUAGUUUGUUGGUGAGGUAACGGCUCACCAAGACUUCGAUAGGUAGGGGCCCUGAGAGGGGGAUCCCCCACACUGGUACUGAGACACGGACCAGACUCCUACGGGAGGCAGCAGUGAGGAAUAUUGGACAAUGGAGGCAACUCUGAUCCAGCCAUGCCGCGUGCAGGAUGACGGCCCUAUGGGUUGUAAACUGCUUUUAUGUAGGAAGAAACACUCUCACGUGUGAGAGCUUGACGGUACUACAAGAAUAAGGACCGGCUAACUCCGUGCCAGCAGCCGCGGUAAUACGGAGGGUCCAAGCGUUAUCCGGAAUCAUUGGGUUUAAAGGGUCCGUAGGCGGGCUAUUAAGUCAGAGGUGAAAGUUUGCAGCUCAACUGUAAAAUUGCCUUUGAAACUGGUAGUCUUGAAUUAUUAUGAAGUGGUUAGAAUAAGUAGUGUAGCGGUGAAAUGCAUAGAUAUUACUUAGAAUACCAAUUGCGAAGGCAGAUCACUAAUAAUAUAUGACGCUGAG